RNAcentral lists this ribosomal RNA (377 nucleotides) under uncultured bacterium. RNAcentral's name for it is "bacterial SSU rRNA". It matches the Rfam family "Bacterial small subunit ribosomal RNA", at positions 523 to 898 of the family's 1533-position model. The record is from RNAcentral.
AUACGUAGGUGGCGAGCGUUGUCCGGAAUUACUGGGUGUAAAGGGCGUGUAGGCGGGAGAGCAAGUCAGAUGUGAAAUAUCACGGCUCAACUGUGAGGGUGCAUCUGAAACUGUUCUUCUUGAGUACUGGAGAGGGAAGCGGAAUUCCUAGUGUAGCGGUGAAAUGCGUAGAUAUUAGGAGGAACACCAGUGGCGAAGGCGGCUUCCUGGACAGAGACUGACGCUGAGGCGCGAAAGCGUGGGUAGCGAACAGGAUUAGAUACCCUGGUAGUCCACGCCGUAAACGAUGGAUACUAGGUGUAGGAGGUAUCGACCCCUUCUGUGCCGCAGUUAACACAAUAAGUAUCCCACCUGGGGAGUACGGCCGCAAGGUUGAA